ACAAAAUUGUUCUUUUUAAUGUCCUCCGUUACCUGUAAGAACAGAACUCAGUUUGAAAGACUUGGGAUCUGAAACCACUUGAAAAAGAAGCAAUUCUGUCUCCCUUCUUACUCUGGGGCAAAAUUUCAUUGAAUGGAACGGUGGAAUGGGUUAACUGGCCAAAAUUAAUGAACCAGAGCAACCUCUUCAUCUCAGUGAAUGAUUACCAGUGGCUCUUCACUUUAACAACAUGAAAAUCUUCAGAGGAACUAGACAUGGACAAGGUGACAGCAGCAAUGGUACUAACCAGCUUGUCGACUAGCCCUUUGGUUCGAAGUCCUCCCGUGCGGCCGAACGAGAGCCUCAGCGGAUCCUGGAAGGAUGGCGGCUGCGUGCCUUCCAGCACCAGCAGCAGUGGCUACUGGAGCUGGAGCGCCCCCAGCGACCAGUCCAACCCGUCCACGCCGUCGCCGCCGCUCUCGGCUGACAGCUUCAAGCCCUUCCGCAGCCCCGCGCAGCCAGACGACGGCAUCGACGAGGCGGAGGCCAGCAACCUGCUCUUCGACGAGCCCAUUCCCAGGAAAAGAAAGAAUUCCAUGAAGGUGAUGUUCAAAUGCCUCUGGAAAAACUGUGGGAAGGUGCUGAGCACUGCAGCAGGUAUCCAGAAACACAUCCGGACCAUCCAUCUGGGGCGCGUUGGAGACUCU
This 686-nucleotide small RNA is filed under the name Pan troglodytes (chimpanzee). RNAcentral describes it as "processed transcript". Lineage: Eukaryota; Metazoa; Chordata; Mammalia; Primates; Hominidae. The record is from RNAcentral.